Molecule: long non-coding RNA, 28779 nt
Filed under: Ananas comosus (pineapple)
Lineage: Eukaryota; Viridiplantae; Streptophyta; Magnoliopsida; Poales; Bromeliaceae
Description: long non-coding RNA (ACOM_LNC003844)
Source: RNAcentral
GAGUGGCAGUCGUGGGAGCUACCCAACCGAGUAUGCAGCGUAUCUCUGUCGAGCUCAAUCAGGCGCUAAUAAGCCAAAGUUAAGAAGCUAGGGUCAAAACUGGUCUAGAAAUCAAAUCCACGUGCCCUCGACAUAAUUUGAGACCAAAAACAGGACUCUAGGUCCACCGUCCACCCCGACGGUACCCAACAACCCGAAACAGCCUAGACUCUGCUGUAAAAAUAAGCUCGGCGCCCCAGCACGAGUGUAAAUGUAUUUUAAACUACCCCGGGUAUCCACCGCGCUGAAACAGCGGUAAUACAAUCAAACCACGGCUCCUAGAGCUAAAUCAGGUAGCAGAAUUAUAUGACGGGUCAAAAUGCGGGUUUUCUCCUAAGUCAAUUUCCAAGUCCAAUAUGUAUAUUUUGCAAAUUAAGAAUCAUGCUCCAAAUUCAGAUUUCAUACAUUAUACUAUUCGAUGAAUUUGAGCUACAACAUGUUAUACCGAAGUCGAACUAUACAUGUUUACUUUACACAUGCUUAGGAGCAAAACCGAUAAGAAACCCACCUUAAUUGCUAAUCCCUGGCAGCAAGGAAGUCUCAAAGGUGCAAGAUCUCGCAGCUAAACCUCAUCUCAGCCAGCAACGAUCCACAAUUCCGAUCUAAGCACCAAAAAUCACUGAUUCCAUCAUUACAACUAUAAUAUCAGCACUUAAGCUUAAUUAACCACACUCCAAUGUCAAAACUCACCUAAUAACCUCCAAUUCAGGUGAGGACAGUCCCAAAUCCAAUGGAGUAUACUGGAGAAUAAUUCUCAAGUCCCAAAUUCUCCUGCUUCCAAAGAUAGCAUCAAGAAAAGCUCAAAAUCUACAAUUCUGUCCAAAUACAAUAACAGCAGAGUAAAACUUGAGUUCGACCAAGCUAACCUCAACCAAAUUCUGCAAUUCAGGGCUUCGUGGAUUCCUCUGGCAGUCUAGAAUCCAGCAAACUAAGUUUCACCGCGAUCCGACCUUUCUACGUCGCACACGAACCAAAACACUGGAGGUCGUCGCUGAAAAACUGCAGAAUCUGCACCUAUCAAGCUUGGAGUUGUGGAUCUUGAAGCAAUUUGAGUGAUUUGGAGGGGUUGGAAUGCAAAAUAGAGGAUCACUGUGAAGAAGAGAGGAAAAGAGCUCACCAAGGACGCUCCUCAGCUAUUUAUAGGGUGAACAUAUGGUCAGAUGAACCUCAGGAACAAAGGCUGCAAUCUGCUACACUUGCAGAAAUAGCCACUUUCGGGCGCCCAAAAUCCAUUUCUGGGCAUCCGAAACCUCCAGGCUGCACAUUUGCUCCCCUUUGGUUCCAUCGCCCGUGGUGUGCUGCGCCCGUAAACGGCUCCGGCGGACCUCACCUACUACCAGCCACAUGUCAACACAAUCGAUACUCACGAGGUGAACUUUCGGACCCUCAUCCGGGCGCCCGAAACAUGGACCCGAAUUCGCUUCCAGUUAUGAUCAAUUCUGCAUUGAACUUCUGGGCGACCCAAGACCAGUUCUGGGCGUCCGAAUCUAGCAAAAUUCCAGUUUUGCUUAAUUAAGUGCACCGAGUCCAUUUCUGCAUCCAUUUCGUGCAGAAACAACUCUGACUCAGUCCGACACUCUCCAGAUGUGUCGACCAGUCACUAACACUGAAACCAAUCCUAUCCAAAGUGUAGAAACAGUACAGUAUAGAAUUUAUCUGAAACAUGAGCCAUUUCGCGAAGCGCCCUGCGAUCGCCUCGGCAUUUCGUUGAACAGGGCGCGAGCUCUCAAAGCAUAAAAUUUUAAUUAAGCAAUAGAUUGCAAGAGCAAGCAUAGCAAAAUCAAAAAAAUUUGAUAGUGGAGAGAGAAUCAGAGAAAAGACUCUAGUAGGUAUUGCAUCAAACAUAUGAGGGGCGCAGCAAAACGGACAAUUUUUGGAGCUCCCCUUGCUCCACUCAGUAGAGAGAGAUAGAGAGAGAGAGAGAGGCGACAGAAAGCAAGCCAUAGAAUUGGGCGAGGAAGUUUCGGCGGCGGCGGGGAUGGGGAGGGGUGGAAGGAGGCAUACCGUAGCAGGGGGACAAAGGUUCGGGGUUUGCAGGAGCUGCGGGGAGAAGCGCGACCCUCCGCGUUGGACGCAGGAGGAGGUCAGGGUAGGGCCCGACAAACACCCGACAUGGGGGGGCCCGGAUCGGAGAGAGGAGGAGGUGGGGGCCCGGGUCGGAGAGGCUUGCCAUCUGCGGGCGACCCGCACCACCCGCGCGCAGAGAGAGAGAGAGAGAGAGAGAGAGAGAGAGAGAGAGCCGGGGGGGCCCUGCCAUGUGAGCAGCGCUUCGCGCGCCCGCGCCCGCUCGAGGAGAAACGACAGAGAGGAGGGGGCGCUGCGGAGGCGACACGUAGGCGCCCGCCCCGCGCCGGACGCCAGCCGCUGCCGCCCGCUGUGGGGUCCUGCACAUGUGACUGCCGCUGCCGCCCACCCCGCCGUGGGGGCCACCGAAGCCCCCGCCAAACGCGGGGAUGCUUCGAAGGGGCGAGAGAGGAGCGGGGGGCUGAGGAGGUGACAUGUAGGGCACAGUAGAACUCAAGAAUUAUUAUUUCUAUAGAUUACGUAGACACAUCAAACAAUGUGUAAUUUGGAUAACUCUGAAAAAAACUGAUUUAAUGGGAAAAACAUAUGAAGAAGGACAUAUGAAGAAGGACCAGUUCAAUAGAAAUGAGUUUGCAGAGGCAUAAGAUAACAAGAGAUCGCCACGGGGAUUCUCAAACAUGGGGAUUAAUAAGGCUACUAUUAUUAUAUAUAGAUUAUAAAGAUAGAUAUAUAGAUAUAGAUAUUUAGAAUAUUUUUAGCCCUUGUUUGGUUGGGGGUUAAGGGGUGGAAUAACCCCUUAACCCCCAUUUUAUCCCCAAACAUCCCAAAAUAUAGGUGGGGUUAGCUAACCCCACUUAACCCCACCUCAAAUAAAUUAUUCCGGAUUAGCUAACCCCACCUAACCCCACCAAACUCCAACCAAACACUAUUUUCUAUUCAUAAUAACCCACUAUCUUUUUUAUCACACCUACUCCAAUCAAUCAUUAUCUUCUUAUCCCACCUACCCAACCAAACACUAUUUUUCAUUAUUCUAAACUAACUCCAACCCCAACCAAACACAAAAAAACUUUAACCCCGCUUUAACCCUAAACUUAACUCUAUUCCUGGAAUAGCUACUUUUUUCUUAACUCCGAACCAAACGGCGGCUUAGAGCUUACAUUUUACUUGGUACACCAUUAAUCGCCCUUCGAAGGAUGUGUUUUUUUGGUCAACGCACAUCACUCUUUCAUUUCUGAUGCACCUAAUGCACUAAAGCUCAUGAAUUUUGAUAUACAGAGGGAGGAUAUAAUAAAUAAAUAAAUAAAUAAAUAAAAUUUUAUAGCAUAGUGCUUCAAGAAAGUAGCCAUUACGCCGGACUAUUUUGACGCUUUGGCCCCCAACGACUUUUCAUCCCACUCUUCGCUCGGAGGGAACAGAAGUCUUACUCGCUCCGUCUCUCCACUCCAUGGCUACCUCAGGUUCCUCCUCCGCCUCCUCCUCCUCCUCCUCUCCUAUGACGUCCUCGGUAAGCGUGAACGAGGUCGUGAGCGGGUCCCACCUGUUCAAGAUCACCGGCUACUCCCUUACCAAGGGGAUCGGCGUCGGCGAGCCCAUCGCCUCCGCCGUCUUCACCGUCGGCGGCUACGACUGGGCCAUCGAGUACUACCCCGACGGCUGCAAGGCCGACGACGCCGACUACAUCUCCUUUUUUCUCGCCCUCCAAAGCUACCACACCGACGUCCAGAUCUACUGGGCGAUCAAAUUGCUCGACCCCGCGGAGAUGCCGCCGUCCGCAGUCCCGGUGGGCGGAAGCUUGUACACAUUCGACUCAAGCGGCAGAAACUGGGGCUACGGGCGCUUCUUCAAGAGAGCCGAGUUGGAGGAAUCGCGUUAUCUGAAAGACGAUUGCUUCGCAGUUAUGUGCACCAUUCACAUCAAGAUGUCGCGGGUCGAGCGGGUGCCUUAUGCUCACCCGUCGGCCGCGGCGGCGGCGCCGCCGAUCGAGUUGCACGACCACCUCGGCCGGCUCUUGGAGAGGGGAGAGGGGGCCGACGUAACCUUCGAAGUCGGCGGGGAGACUUUCGCCGCCCACCGCUGCGUGCUCGCCGCCCGCUCCCCUGUUUUCAGUGCUCAAUUUUUCGGCCCCUUGAGCGAAAAGAGCACGCAGUGCGUAAAGAUCGAAGAUAUGGAAGCUGCGGCUUUUAGGGCUUUGCUUCACUUCAUAUACCGGGACUCGUUGCCGGAGGAUGGUGAGGAGCCUAAGAAGGCUUCGACUGCAAUGGCGCAGCAUUUGCUCGCGGCCGCAGACCGGUAUGGGUUGGAGAGGCUGAAGCUAAUAUGUGAAGAUAGGUUAUGCAAUAGCAUCGAUGCCGACACGGCGGCUACCAGUUUGGCCUUGGCGGAGCAGCACGGCUGUCUCCGGCUUAAGAAAGUGUGCCUUGAAUUUGCAGUCGUGCCGGAAAAUCUGAUAAGUAUGGUGCUAACUGAAGGGUUUGAGCAUCUGAGGAUGAGUUGUCCCUCGGUUUUGGAGGAUCUCAGAAUGAAGACGACCCGGCACUCUGGUAAGUUUUAAAUUAGCAAAGACAAGAUCCGUUAUAUGUUGUUUUCAUUUCUUUCAAUUAUUGUCCUCAAUGAUAUACUGAUAUAUUUUGGAAGAUAAAUAAGACGAAAUGUCGAUUUAGAGCCAAUUUAUGCAAAUAUAAAUUUAAUCAGUUGGCUCCUUGUAAUAAAAAGAAGUAAAAGGUCUUGGUUGUUUGUGUUAACAUUCCGCUAAUGAAAAACUGGAAUCCUAGGAAGACGUUAAAAGGGUAUGCUUCAUUCAUGAUUCCAAUAGGAAUGGGAAGUGGGAUUAGAUUGUAUUGGAAUGGAAAAUGGAAUGAUGAAUUAUCCAAAAAUAUUUGGUUUAUUAUUGGAAUGGAAAUCAUAAUGAACAUUCAGGAUUUUGGGAGAGGGUGUUGGUUAAAAAAGAUGAGAGUGAUGACUGAUGAAGGGAGAGAAAGGGGAAGUGUUUGUGAGAGAGGGCUUUGAGUGGUUUACUUUUGAAUGGGCUAAUCUGGAAUUCAAAGCUAGAUUGGACCAUAAAUGCAUUAAGGCUAUUCCCAUUCCAGAGUAGAAUGGGAAUCAAAGUCCGAUUCAUGUAAAACAAACAACAACUAUUAGAAUCAAUGAAUCUCAUUCCGAUUCUAUAACCUAAAAUAGGUGGACCAAACGAGCCUUGAAACUGCAAGAUUGUUACCAUAGUUUGAAAAGGGCACGCGCCUCGGCGCCUAGCGUGGGCCUCAGCGCCACAGCAAUAGGGAGGCGCAGCGCUAUUGUUGAGGCGCGCGCCUAGGGCCUGAGGCACGCGCCUCAUGCGAGUUGCGAGGCGCUCCUGAGGCACGCGCCUCGCAAUAUUUAAGUUUACAAGAAUUUUUUAUUCAAGUUUUCGAGUUGUCGGGUUUUGAAUUUGCAUCUUAUACUUUACCCCGAUAAGAUACUUAAAAAAUCUUAAAAGAAAUUUUAAAAAAUUCAAGUUUUCGGAUUGUCGGGUUUUGAAUUUGCAUUUUAUACUUUAAACUCGAUAAGAUACUUAAAAAUCUUGAAAGAUACCCAAAAUACCACUAAAAAAAUCAGCCGCUUGCCCCUUCUCCGUCUCUUAUUCUCUCACAUCCUCUCCCUGUCGAGCAUCCAGCAGCAGCUGUGCUGUCAGCAGGAAGCAGCGGCAGGAAACCGGCGGUGGCUAGAACAAGCAACCAGCAGCAGUGGCAGCAGGAAAACAAGUAGUAGCAGCGAAAACAACAGCAGUGUCAGCAAGUACAUCAAAUUAAACUAUAUGCAUGUGUUUUCUUUACUUUUUGAUGGUUAUUUUGGGGUUUUUUAAUAUAUAACAUCAAAUUAAAUUAACUUUAGUAAAUGUGCGCCUCGCCUUCUUGAGGUGCCCGCCUUGCAGUGCGCCUCUCCGCGCCUCGCGUCUAUGCAAACACUGAUUGUUACACAAGUAUAUAUUUGUUGUGGCAAGAUAAGGAUAAAAGUAGAAUUAGUGAGGAUGGAGGUAUUGUAAACAAUGGAAGUAUUUUUAUGGUGUAUAAUUUGUUAGCAAUGUAACCCACAAGAUUACAGAGAAAUCUUUUCAGAACAACUUGAAUCACACAUAUCAUGCUUUUGAAGUGAACUUGUACUCAUGUUUUUUAUAUGCUGUUUCUAAUUUUGUGAACUUGUGUAUAGCCAAUUAGCAACUAGGUUAUUUAUUUACAAAGCUAUGAUGCAUAGAUACUCUAGAUGCAUCCUUACCAGAUACUGUAUCCAGUAUGAUACUUACUAAAAUACUUCAUAGAUAGCCUCAGAUAUGUGUCUGUAUUAAAGGAGUGUAGCAAUAGUAAUAUUGCUUUGAUAUAGAAGAAGGUAGGAUGGUCCAGACUCUAUACUAGGAGGAUGUCAUCUUUUCAUCAAUUCAAAGUAAAAAUAUGAUCGUGUUAAGCAUCAAAACUAAUUUAAUUUAUUUAAAGACGGAACAAAUAUUAUCUAAUUAAUAGAGCUUGGUCUUAUCUAGGAGUUAGUUAUAGGCUCCCGGUUAUACUAUAAAUUAUAUCCAUUCAUAGUAUGAGUAAGGUAAAAUGGAAGAUAGUUUUACAAAGUAUAGCUUCCUAAAAGAGCCAAUAGUUGAUGUUGAGAUGCUGGCGACAACAACUUUCUUGUACAGGUCAGUAUUUGAAGAUAGAGUAAGGAAUCUGACUUGUGUAACCUAAAAUAUCUAUCAAAAUCUUGAUUUAAUUCCUAUAUGUGGGGUUCAUAGUUGUUCCCAACAGCCUACGUCUAUUAGGCUAUGAGUUACAUAUUCCUGAGAGUUUACAGUAAAAACUUUUAUGUAUUCAGUCAACAUUUGCAUGGUAUGAAGUAUAGGAUGAAUGCCUUUAAAGUGCUUAUACUAUUUUGGAGAAGAAUUUAUGUUAUCUUUUGGAUCUAACUGCAGCUUUCAAAAUCUCUCACCGGUUUAUAUGCACUUCUCAAGUUUGAUGUACAGAGUCUGUUGCAUAAAAGAUGUUUCUUGAACUUCUGAUAAUAUUUAAGUAUCCUGAAUUGUUGAAUCUUCAUCGCUAGAGAGAAUUAAGUGCUGUGGAAUUUGUCACAGAGGACUAGUCUAACCUUGUUUGAUAUCUAACUAUUACUAAUUCUCAAUGAGGAUGGAUUGAUUUGGUUCACAAUUUGCUAAAUUAUAUUCUUGUCCAUAAUUUUCGUAUGAACAUGAAUUAGUUUCUGGGUAGUUAGUGAAUAUAUAUCUUGUUGCUAUAUUUGCUAAAAGUGGUAUCUAACAGAUUCUUACCAGAUUUAGACGGAUUUGAAUAUGAAUAGACUUCAAGUCUGCAGGGGUAUUGCUCAAUAAGAUGCACGCAUAGUAUAAAGUAGUCAUCUAUAAAUAUUUGUUAAAUGUUAGUAAUUUAGUGAUAAGUCUUUAUGUCCUUUAACAAAUAUUCUUAGAAAUGUUCCUUCUUUUGUUUGGUUAGUUGUGGAUUCAUAUUCAGUUUAACCGUUUAUGUUUGGGUCAUUAGCGAUUAUUGCUAUCCUGACACAUUUGAUGUGGACAUUGUAUUAAUAACUACGCAAUUUGAUGAAACUUGUGAUUGCACCUAUGUUCUUUUGUUAUUAAAAAUUGUAUUAUGACGUAACAAGUUUAUGAAAGGAGUUUGUUAUUUGUGGCUACCAUAUAGUGGAUGUUGACUUCUUGUGUACCUUUUCAUGCAAUUAGUAAUUUAUCUUAGGCGGUGUUUGGUUGUCUGUAAAAACACUCCGAAAAUUUUUUUUCGCUUGAAAAGUGGUUUUCCCUUGUUUGGUUGCUCGUAAAAGAAGUUGCCGGAAAAUUUUUUUUACGGAAUCUACGUAAAAAACCAAGUUUUGGUUUUCCGCCCACCGCGGGCGAAAAACGAAAAACUUGAUCCCAAAACGCGCGGCUCACAGCGCUGAAAAAAACGCGGUCCACGAGAAAGCCUGAUUCUCGUGGACUGCGUGAGUGGUCCAACUGCGUGAGUGGUCCAACUGUGGACCACUCACCAACUCUUUCUCUCUUAUNUGGUAAAAAAUUAUUAUACAUAUUUAUAAAUAUAUAUAUUUAUUAUAUAUAUAGUAUUUUAUUUUUAUAUAGAAAUAUUAUUAUAUAUUAUUUUAUUUAUAAAUUUGUAAUUAUUUAUUAAUAUCUCUAAAUAUAUAAUUCUUAUAUAUAUAUGAUGUAAUAUGUUCAUUAUAAUUUUAAAUAUAUUUAAUUUGUAUAUAUAGAUUAUAAUAAUAAUUUAUAAUAUUAUGUUCAUUAUAAUUUUACAUACUAUGAUGUAAUAUGUAAUUAUAUAUAUUUAUUAUAUAUAUAAUAUUUUAUUUAUAAAUUUGUAAUUAUUUAUUAAUAUUUUUAAAUAUAUUAUAUAUGAUGUAACAUAUUUAUUAUAAUUUUAAAUAUAUUUAAUCUGUAUAUAAAAAUUAUAAUAAUAUAUAAAAUAUAUUAAUUAUUAUAUAUUAAUAAUAUAUAAUAAAAAAUAUUAAAUAGUUUUUCAUCUAUUCUUUUUUCUUCCAACCAAACAACCGUCAUGGAAAACUAUUUUUCUUUUCCUACAAAUCAAACACUAACGACGUAAAACCAUUUUUCCACCGAAAAUUUUUUUUCCACAGUUUUACGUGGAACCAAACACACCCUUAGCAAUUAUUGUGGAUGUUGAAUUCUUGCGUACCUUUUCAUACAAUUAGUAAUUUGUUUUACAAUUAAUUGUCACUUGCAUGACCUUCACAUUUACAGACCAUCUUCUUUCAGCACAACAAAAUGUGAAAAAACCUACUUCUCUGACAACUCAAGCUGUUACAGAGCUAUGCUUAAUAUAAUGGGAGCUACAAAUUUAGUUUCUGACAAUUUUAGUUGUCCUCAGAUCUUCAAUUUUAAUAAUUUAAUCCUCGAAGCUUUUUCCAUGUAGCUAUCAAGUGCGUCACGUAAUCUAAGGGCUUAGAAAACAACAAAGCUGCAUUAUUGUUGCAGUUUAAAUGUUAAAAAACCACCAUACAUAUCAACAGAGCUAACAAUGGAGUUAUGAGACACCUUUUUUGGAGGGCAACGUAAUGAAAGGACUUGUUAUAUAGGACAAUUUAUAGGGACUUUAUUGUCAGAAACAUAAUAGAAGUGGGUAAUUAAGAUUGCAGCAUCUUAUAGUCAACACUUUGAUGUCUAGGCUCUCAAAUUUAUUAUGUCCAAAAGUUUGGGUAUGAAUUAAAUAGUUUGAAGUUUAUAUUGUUCUCUCUCUCUCUCUCUCUUUGAGGUUUAUAUUGUUCUCUCUCUCUCUCUCUCUCUCUCUCUGUUUUAUUUUUGAAUGGAUGUUGUUCUCAAUCUAACGGCAGUAGCUCAGAGGGGUUUGGGCUUAGGACAUUUUCUUGCACCUAUUAAUCUAUUAUGUGCAAUGUGAAAUAAGAGGGUGAAGUUUUUCUGUUGGCAAAAUAAAAGGCCUCAUGUGAUUGAAAACUCUGGAGCCUUUGUUUUUAUUCCAUGUGAAAACAUUUGUUGUCUAAAACUCGACUAUUCUUUUUGUUGUCGUAGGAAUACAUUGGUCAUUUCAGGCAUUGUUAUCCCGCAGUGAUAAUGUUUGCAAUCAGUUUGCAUCGAUAUAAUUCUUUUUCAACUCAUUUUCUUUUCUAUUCUGAUAAUAGUAAUGUUGAAUACUAAAUUUUUAUGGAUCCAGGAAACCAUGAUAACAUCAAAUAACUAAUGGAAGGAAGUGUGCGGAUGGCAAAGUUAGAGCAGUGAAGCAAAUUCGGUAUAGUUGUUGUUUUAGAAGUAUACUAACAUGACUUAUAUUGUUCGUAGAAAAAAUGUGGAAUAUUGCAUAUAUAUUUGUAAUUGUAAUUACUAGUUUCUAUUUCUAUAAAUAAAUAAUUGCUUGCUCUAUAAGCCAGAAACUUUCAUUGAAUAUUUAACUAUGUUUUGAGUUUUAAUUGGUGGCCCUCUAGAUAUUUGUUUAGCAUGUGCCUUCUGUUAAGCUCUGGUUUGCAAGAAUGAAGCAAUUUUUGUUGCAAAGAUUUCUGUAACGGUGCAGUUCUUUUUAUCCGUAUUGCAAAGAAGACUUGAUUAGCUUGCUAUUUAAACUGGCCGUCUAUUUUUCUUCUUGUAGUAUGUAAUAUAAAUUAGUUCUCAUUGUAAAUUUUGUAUGCUAUUGGAGUGGCUUCUAAAUAGAUACUGUAGGUAGUUGAGAACAUAUGGUUUUAUGAUGGAUUGGACUCUUUUUAAUUAUUAAAUAGCCUUUUGGUUUGCUUUAUGAGUAUUUGUAGUUUAGUCACUUGUUUUAUUUAUAUUCUUCAGUUUCAGUGCUAAAUUGUAUUCUUUAUGUGAAACUGACUCUAGUAAUGCUAUUUUACAUCCAAAAGUUGAGUGUAAAUUUUAUACCCUACCCAUCGAAGGGUGGGAACAAUCUUUUUUGUAUUUAAAAAAUAGGAUGGUGAUAUGACUAGUGGGAUAGAAUUAACCCGCUCAUUUUGAUGAAAAAAAAUAAAACAUUUAUAAGUGGCAGAAAAAAUGGUUAAAAACGAAUGGAUCUUUUACCUCUGCCAAGAUGGACUGCUCUUUAUGUUCUCCGAUCAGUGACUCCUUUAAGUGUAGUGUGGUAAAAAAUUGUCGAUCUCGAACUGUUGAUCUAUCUAUCUAGAGAGAGAGAGAGAGAGAGAGAGAGAGAGAGUUGGGCUAGAAUACUCUUAAUAGUAUUUGGGCUCUGAUACUAUUAAGUCAUUUUUGAUGAUAGGAUAUCCAAAUCGUCGAUCCAUAUCGUUCAAGUUGAUCUAGAGUGUUUGAACCUUAUAAAAAUUAAGUUUCAUAAUUUUUCGAAAUCAUUUUCUAGUUCAUCAAGUGACUGCAGAAUGCACAGUUGAAAAUGAACAAGCUACUUAAAAUCGAUAAUAGAACUCUCAAAUUCAAGAUCAAGGUUAUUCAUUUGAUCAAGAUAGUUAAAGAAAUUUCGAUUGAAAAUUGAACUAAUUUAGAACGUGCUACACCGUUAAACGAGAAAAUGCAUCAUAUAGACGGUUAAAAUUAUUUAAUUUUGAGAUUACUUGAUCACAAGUAGUUAAUGUCGAAAAAUUACAAAAUUAAAUUUCUAAAAGGUUUAAAUGCUGUAGAUUUACUUGAACGGUAUGGUUCGUCUAUUCGGAUGUCCCAUUAUCCAAAGUGAUGCGAUGGUACCGGAGCCCAAAUACUCUUAAGAGCAUUCUAGUCCAACAUGACAAACAUGACAAUCUUGAAAUAGUCAUUUUCUCUAAAUGUUUAAAGUUAUUAGCUAGAGAGUUGUGUCUUAAAUAUUGGGUUUGAGUUCAAUUUCAAUUAUGUCUUCAGAGCUUUAAUUUGAAAAAUUUAGCCAUUGGAAUUUGUCCCACACAAUCAUUACAUUCUUCACUUAAGAAAACAUCACGUUUGCAUUGUCAUUAUAAUUGAAAGCACAUGAAAAUAUUAGUAGGAUGUUAGGAAGCGCUACUUAGGUUGGUGAGAUAGUGGCAUGGAUUUAAGUGCCAGUUGGCAUGUGUCUUGUCAACUGUGCUGACAAAGCAUUGGCACAACACAACUUUUGUGCCAAUGGCACGAUUCGAAAUCCUUCUUUUGUAAUUUUUUUCAACCAAAUAGGUUUAGCAUUGGUUUCAAAUGAUCUAAUUUUGAUGGAAUGAAGGUGCAGGAAAUUUGAUUUGCAUCAUGCAUACACAAAAUUGAAAUCUCAAUAAAUUUAGCAUUAGUUUUUUAGGGAAUAUAAUUUUCUUCAACUUUUACUCCUUAAUCUAAUGAAUACUUGCACAUUUUAACAUACUUCUCAAAAUUAUUAAUAGUAAAAAAGAAUUCGAUAAUAGCAUAUUUAAGAACAAAUGUGAUAUAUAUUUGUUGAACAAAUAAAAAUCUCAUAUGAAUUUGUGUCGGCACAUGGGUACUGUACCAGCAGCACCGAGGCUAUGCAAAUUUUGUCAUCCUAGCCAGCGCUCAGGCAUGGUCCCGUGUCUCGACACUUAAAACCUUGUAGGGACAUCUUCUUUCAAAUAGAAAAGUUAUGAAAGGAUUCAAUUACUAUGGAGGACAAAUUUCAGGGACUAAAAUUUUUAAAACUCCUGGGGCAUAAUUGUUGUUAUUGAUGUUUUGUAUUAAUUAAUUAGCUUCAAGAAUAUUGUAGGUUUUAGAUGCUAGAUGGUUUUACAAUGUGAGAGUUUUUCUAAUGACUAAAUAGUUGAUGAGCCUGAUUUGGAUCUUUGCUACCACGUGAAACUACCAUAAUCUCUUUUAGGUGUUAUAUGCGUAUUUAGUAUUACUACCAUCAUGCACAUUAACUGAGGUGUUAAGAAUAAUCGUGGUCAUUUCUGAUUGAUUGGUUAUGCAAACGAUGUAUUCUCACAAUAAUAUUACUUGCAAGCAUUUUAUUUGCAUGAUAUAUUUUCAACUUGAUGACUUCUCAUAACUAUUCCAACUGUAGUGGACUUUAUACAUUGGUCAGAGAAAGCUUAUAACUUGCUUAAAUUUUUUUCUGCCGAUCCAGAAAACAGUAGUCACUUCAAAUGGCCAGUGGACUUGCCUGUGUUGAAAAGUUAGAGAGGAGAGAUAUGUUUAGCAGCAGCUGUUGUCUUAAAAGGUAAUGUGGAUAGAACCUAAGCUUUUUGAAUUUUGAAUAGUGAAAGCUUGUCUAUAUAUAUAUGCCCUGCAAUUUUUUGAUCUUCAGGUUAUAUUUUGUUCCAACAUGCAAAUAUUUAGUUGCCCUAUAUAGCCAUGGCCGAAAAUUCAUUAGAUAUCUGAACAAUGUUAUUCGGCAUGUUCUCAUGUCACCUUUGUUUUUUAUGGUUUUGAGGGAUGAUGAAAAUUGGGCAAUUUUUAUUGCAAUCAUAAGUAUGGAAACAACAAACUUCUUUUCUUCUUUACAGACAUUCCGUAAGAUAUAUAAUAGUGUGCUAAAGAGCUUGACAAACUGAUUUUUCUAGAACUAGCCUUUUCUCUUUUUCCUAUUUUUGCUUAAUAGUUUAAUAUAAUUCUAUUCUUAUUGUAAAUUUCUUAUAAUAUUUUAGUGAUUUCUAAGUAAAUACCGUAAAUUGUUGCUGAUAGUUGGUUUAAUGAUUGGAUUCUUGUAUAUUUAGGUCUUGUUUCACAUCACUGCUAAUUUUUUUUAAAUUUUUUGUAAACAUAAGGUUUAUAUAGGGGAAUUAGAUAUAUGUGGAUGUUAUUUUCUAUUCGCGUUAUGAUUAGUUAGAUUGACGUUCAUCUCUUCUAGGUGAUGAUUACUUCCAAGAUUUUAUCUUCUAUAGCCAAAUAAUAUUUUACUUUGAAUGCAAUGAUUGCAAACAAUCGAUCAUUCAUUUAAACAUUCUUUAAUGUGGAACUUUUUUUUUUUUUAAAAUGGUAAUAAUGCCAAAUAAGAUCUUAGUAAAUAUCUUUUGGUUUUGUUUUGUUGGUAUUCUGGAAUUUGCUAAAACAGAUCUGUAAGUUUAGCUAUGGUUCCUCAUGUUCUGUUGUCCACUUACGACAAAUUUUAAAAUCGACAACUAAUAUAUACUCUUUUAGAAAUUGUAUUUCCAUCUAAUCAAUCUUACAUAUAAUGAAAGCCUAUGGAUGUGCUUCUCAAAAGCCAAAAAAAAAAAAAAGUGGAACGUAACAGUGCAUUAUCCCUAUUUUCACUAUGUCAGGUUGCCUAUAAUUUUUUUUUAUAUAUUAUUAAUAAGUUGACAAUGAUAAUACAUAUGGCUUUAAUUGUCUUGUUAGUCUAAAAUACUCACGUAGCACAUACUGUAUGAACCAAUUAAAUUUCUUUAUAUUAUGAAGUCAAGAUUCUCUUGGAUCGAGUUACAGUACACUUUUUUAUGGAAGCAGAUUCCUCCAUUCUUUUUUCACUGUUCAGAAUGAAAAAUUUCCAAACAAAAUGUUUUCUCCUUUUGUAUUGUUUAUUUUAGGUGGCAAUCGCCUAUUUGUACCAACAAAUUUUCACCUUUCAUAUCUACCCAUCAAAAUAUAUGUUCUCAAACAUACCCUGGGAAAAAUCCAAAUCCUUUAUUAUAAACCUUCCAAAUACAGAAAUCUUUCAAUGGUUUAUUUGAGACGAAGGGUAAGUUUCACAAGUUUAUAAUAGUCUCUUAUUUCUUUAAUUAUACUAUACUAAAAUGUACUUAAUGAUUUUGUUUUUUUUGGUAGAUUGAAUUAAAAUUUCCAACCUUUAAAAGAUUUGAUUUUAAUAUCUAACUUUUCAAUUUGUUUGAUUUAAGCUAUUUAAUGGUUCUUCCAGUUUGAAAUUUAGGUAAUCAUUUUGAUGAAUUCUAACCACAUAACCUACAAGAAUAUUAAACUCUAUAUUAAAGUUGAAACCAAAUGCCGUUCCUCCAUCGAGCCACGUAGCCUGAACAUUAAAUACAAUGUGCAUGAACAUUAAAUACAAUGUGCCACGUGUCUCUCUCUCCCUCACAUUCUCUCCCUGUGCAUGAACCAAAACAAUUCAUAUCACAUAGAAUAUUGCCAUGUACUAUUGCUAUCUUGCUAAUCAUUAGGGUGCAUGCAUCCACCUCCCAGCUUUUUCUAUAUAUCUAGCAUUGUUCGCUAUCAAACAAGUGUAUGAAUGUGUAUACUUGUCUCUGCUUAUUUGUUCCUCCCAGCUUUAUCAGUAGUGUUAGAGCAUAUUCUCAACCUUGCUAUAUUUGUUUUGGAAUUAUUUGGGAUAUAUAUCUUCUACUGUUGUUAGGUGAGGUAAAACUAUGUUGCUUUAAACUCUCAUAGAGUGUACUCCUUGAUAGUAUAGGAAUACAAAAUAAAUAAUAUAAAUUUAACAGUAAAUAAUUUUUUAGUAUAUUCCUUGAUAGUAUAGGAAUACGAAACAAAUAAUAUAACUUAACAUUAAACAGAUUGUUUUUUCCAGCAUACUGGAACAAUAACCUUACAUAAACGCUAUACUAAAACUUAAACCAAAUGUCGUCCCUCCAUCGAGCCACGUGAUCUUUCUUUUAUAUGGUUUUCUCUCUCUCCCUCACUUGUUCUCCCUCCCUUUACAUAAAAUAUAUGGUGCAUGAUGGGAAAAAAAUAUAGUACAGAGAAUAUUGCAUUGUACUUUUGCUAUCUAUGUAAUCACGUGGGUUCAUGCAUCCUCCCCCCACUCCAGCAUUCCCUAUAUAUAUGCUGUUCACUACCAAACAUGCGAAUAAAUGUUAAUAUUUGUCUCUACUUACUUGUCUUCCAGCAUCAAUAGUGUUAGAGCAUCUUCUCCAGCUUUCUAUAUAUAUAAACGUUCAGCUUCUAACAUAGUUAUUGGGCCCACCACCCAUUUACUUCCUUAAGGAGUAAGAUUUUUUUUUGGCUGUAUCUACAGAUACAACCAGCUAUAUCCAUCUGUUUGUUUUAGAAUUAUUUGGGUUACAUAUCUGCUACUUUCCUAAGGUAGGGUAAAACUAUGUUGUUGUAUACUCUCAUAGAGUGUAUUCCUUGAUAGUGUAGGAUUACAAAAAAAAAUAAUAGUUAAUUAUUUACAUUCACUAAACAUCUUUAUCUUAAUUGGUUAAAUGAAAGAACAAUAAGCUAACAUAAAUCAAAAUAAAAAAUGUGUGCCUAAUUAUCUUACCGUGCUUUUUAUAUGUCGUUACUUCUUUAUGGAAUGAUAACAUAAACGCUUAAAAAGUAAAUAAUUAAUUGGCUUAUUUGUUUUAACGAUAUGUUGGUGAUGUUGGGUCCCUGGAUUUUUUGAAUUUAAUACUGGACAUAUAUAAAUUUUCAGUCUUUACAGGUGUAUUUUUAAACUAUUUAAUAAUGUGUGUAAUUAAUUACAGGCUUCUCGUCUUUGUUCGUUAGAUGCAUCCUAUUUUUCUUUACUCCCUUAAUUAAAAUUAAUUAGUAAUUGUUUAUGAAAAUUACGAUUGCCUCCAGAGUUUUUUUUCCCUUGCUUCAUAUUUCUAUUUCGAUGACUUUCUUUAAAACUAUAAGGAAGUGUCUUAUUAUUUUUAUCAAUAUAUGUUUCAUGUGGGGAAAAAAAAACCAGGACUUUAAUGUAUUUGGAAUUAUGAUUUUCAUUACUCUUCGUCUUUUUUUUUUUGAUUCCUAUCUUUCUUGAGCAUGUAUACAUGCAGAUUCUUUACUAGUUAAUUAUUUACCUCCUCUAGGCACCUUUAUUUUAAUUGGCUAAAUUAAAGAUCAGUUCUAACAAUUUCAUACUAAGUUUCUUUAUCUUACCGUACUUUUUAUAUUUCGUUAGUUCAUUAUGGAGUGAUAACAUAAAUUGUUAAAAAGUAAAUAAUUAAAUGACUUAUUUGUUUUAAGGAUAUGUUGGUGAUGUUGGGUUCCUUACUUUUUUUUAUUAAUGGUGGACAUAUAUAGAGAUUUGUCUCAGUACUUAAAUUUUUAAUCUACGGCUAUUGAGCAAUGCAUGUAAAGAUGUUAGAAAGUUUCUCUAGACAAUAGCAUUGGAGGGCUGGGAUUAAAAAAACUAAUGCAUUAAUUAUACUAGAUUCAUAACAUAAGUCUUAUGUUUUAUCAUACAUUAAUUAUUUUGCAUUUGGUCAUUCUAUACCUUAGCUUAAAAUGAUUAUCUCGUCUUUUUUAUAUCAUUCUUGAACGUUUAAAGGACAAUGGCGGCCCUACCAGUAUAAUAUAAGCAAUUGUUUACCGACAUACUUGGGGUUCUUGCCUUUCCUCUUCCUAAUUACGGCGCAAUGUUCGGUUCUGAUAGCUUGUAUGUGGGAUGUGCUGAAAUAAAAGUUGAAAAUAUUGAUGGAAUUGAAGAGGUUUUUAAGUGGUUUGGUCAGAAAUGCAUUAAUGUUGAGUUAGCAGAGGAAAAAGCCGCUCAUGAAGCAAUUAUGUGCUUGAAGAAAGCACUUAAUUUCGAUAUUGCUGAUAUUAACUAUGAUGACUUAAUGGUUUAUAAAUCUUUAUACGAACAGUUGUGUGCCAACCACAACCAACUCCAGUCCGACUACUAUUUUCUAAAAGAAUGUUACAGUUAUACUCUCAGCGAGGUUAGGUGCCUUCAAAAUGAGAAUACGUGGCUGGGACAACAAGCCGACCACGCUGCAGAGUUGCUGUGGCCCACUACAAUUAAUAAUCAUCUGCAUCCUUCAGUUGUAAUCUUUAAAGUCUUUUGUAGCAUGAAUUUCGCAGUCUCCCUUUAGUUGUAUAAAAAUGUCAUGACGUUUCGUUUCCUUCUUUCAAUGUCUUGUAUUUUGUUGUUUUUGAUACUGUAGUAUAAUUUGUCUGUCUGAUAGUGCCGUGACGUGUCGUUUCCUUCCUUCAACGUCUUGUAUUUUGUUGUUUCUAGUACUGUAUUGUAAUUUGUCUGUCUGAUACUCUGAGUUUUCUAAUAGUCAUUAAGAUUUGUGCGCUUGAGGGUAGGAGACUGUAUAACGGUANNNNNNNNNNNNNNNNNNNNNNNNNNNNNNNNNNNNNNNNNNNNNNNNNNNNNNNNNNNNNNNNNNNNNNNNNNNNNNNNNNNNNNNNNNNNNNNNNNNNNNNNNNNNNNNNNNNNNNNNNNNNNNNNNNNNNNNNNNNNNNNNNNNNNNNNNNNNNNNNNNNNNNNNNNNNNNNNNNNNNNNNNNNNNNNNNNNNNNNNNNNNNNNNNNNNNNNNNNNNNNNNNNNNNNNNNNNNNNNNNNNNNNNNNNNNNNNNNNNNNNNNNNNNNNNNNNNNNNNNNNNNNNNNNNNNNNNNNNNNNNNNNNNNNNNNNNNNNNNNNNNNNNNNNNNNNNNNNNNNNNNNNNNNNNNNNNNNNNNNNNNNNNNNNNNNNNNNNNNNNNNNNNNNNNNNNNNNNNNNNNNNNNNNNNNNNNNNNNNNNNNNNNNNNNNNNNNNNNNNNNNNNNNNNNNNNNNNNNNNNNNNNNNNNNNNNNNNNNNNNNNNNNNNNNNNNNNNNNNNNNNNNNNNNNNNNNNNNNNNNNNNNNNNNNNNNNNNNNNNNNNNNNNNNNNNNNNNNNNNNNNNNNNNNNNNNNNNNNNNNNNNNNNNNNNNNNNNNNNNNNNNNNNNNNNNNNNNNNNNNNNNNNNNNNNNNNNNNNUCUUAAAAUACACAGUUGGAAAGGUUAUGGUGUAUUAUUUACGUUACUUUAAAUUAUUCAACACCAACCAUUUUUUUUAUAGUUAAUAGUAGAAUGAUUUAAUUUUUACUAUAUAUGUACUAAUUAUCAAAUUUAGGAGACUAUAUAUACAUAUGCAUGAAGUGUGCCAGAAGCAAUUACUUCUCCACUUGGAGCUCUUUUAACGGGCAAAAAUUUAGUGGACACAGUGUCGCAACAAUGCUAUUUGGGGACUCUCCGGAUGGGCGCUGCGUGGCGAGCACGCACCGAUCUCGAAGUCUUUUUUUUUUUUUUAGGCAUUUACAAACAGGCCGUUUCGGAGAUUUCGGAUUUGGAUGCGAACCGUUAAAAGGCGUAAACGGGAAGACAGGGGAGACCCCAGUUGGGGGAGUAGGGCAUUCUCAGGCUUGGAUUUGACUUAACUGGACGCUGGUGCUGUUCAUCGUGUUGUUUCGCGGAUUCCUCAGGUCUUCAGCCUCGGCCGUUCUGUAGUACUGCCCUGCCGAUCUCGAGUCUACGACGACUGCGGCCGGCAGAUUCGUGGGGUGGAAUCAAGAUUUGGAAAAGGAGAGUUCCGGAAAGAUGAAGUGGGUGCAGAAGAAGUAAUGGAUUUGCUACAACUGCAACGAUGGAAAACGGUUUCUCCACGGAUCGCCACCGGAGUGCACAUUACAUUACAUUAAAGUGAUCAACUAAUUAAUUAGAGUCAGAAGCUCAAGCUCACGUUAUUGGAAAUGAUUUUUUUUUUCAGCUUUUUUUUUAAAAUUCUUUUUUUUUUUUCUGGAGCAGUGUUGAUCAAAGUUUACAGUUGUAAGUGCAGCUUUUGUUGAUCAAAGUUUACAGUUGUAAGUACAGCUUUUAGCGCUACAACAUUGAUUGAAUUCUUUAUUUUUUUUUAUUUAUAAUAUUCUGGUCAACACUGAUCACUCAUAUAUAUAUAUAUAUAUAUAUAUAUAUAUAUAUAUAUAUAUAUAUAUAUAUAUAUAUAUAUGGUUAUUUAAAUGUGGAAGUACACAUGGGGAUCGAUGUAUGAUUACGUGGACCUGACCAGUCAAUGAGCUCCUGUACAUAGGAAUUGUUUAAGUGGACCAUCUUCGCCACGUCAGCUGUGGACUGCCAGAGGGGGGACAUGAUACUAUAUGGUACCAUUUGGUUCGGGAACAAGGAGGAGAAUAAGCCCUUAUCCCCCCUUUGUUCCCAAACGCAGCGUUUGGUAACCGAGAACAGUAGCUCCCGGAUUUCUGAAACUAGCUGGUAUAACACUGGAACUAGCUGGAACUGCUGUUCUACCUUUUUCUUGGAACAAGCUUGUUCCUGAAUGAGAACAAGGUUAAUUAAAUAUAAAUUUAAAAUUUAAUGAUAGUAAAUUAUUAAUUAAUCUAACUAAUAUAUUUGAAUUAUUAUCUAUUGCUUAAAUAAUAAAAUAAAUAAAUAAAUAAUCAAUUAUAAUUAAUUAUUUAUAAUUAGAUAAUAAUAAUUAUUAAUUUAAUAAUUAUUAUUUAUUAAUAAUUAUUAAUUAAAUAAUUAUUAUUAAUAAUUAUUAUUCUUAAGAAAUAGAUAAUCGAUAUUAUUAAUAAUUUAUUAUUUAUAAUUAAUUAUUAAUAAUUAGAUAAUUAUUAUUAAUUAAUUUAUUACUUAUAAUUAAUUAUUAAUAUUAUUAUUUAAUUAUUAAUUAAUAAUAAAAUAAAAUAAUUAUUCUUAUUAAUUAGAUAAUCGAUAUUAUUAGUAAUUUAUUAUUAAUAAUUAAUAAUUAAAUAAUUAUUAUUAUUUAUUAAUAAUGAUUUAUAAUUAAUUAUUAAUAAUUAGAUAAUUAUUAUUAAUUAAUUUAUUACUUAUAAAUAAUUAUUANNNNNNNNNNNNNNNNNNNNNNNNNCGCGCCGCGACUUUUUUUUUUUUGCUUUUUUUCUUUUCUUUUCUUCUCCGACUCUUCUCCACCGUCUCCGACGACGACGCCUCUCGUCCUUCCCCGCCCUUCUCAUCUCUCCCUUUCCCCCAUUUUCUGCCGCCUCCAACGACGAUUUAUCUUCGCCGGCGCCGACAUCGACACCGUAGAGGUCACUGCGGCACUACAACCUCGGAGCGGGGGGUCCUUAGCGGCGUUGUCACCGGCGCCGUAGCUGUUGGCAGAGAAGGUGAUAAAAAAAAUUAUAGAAAAAACAGAAAAAAAGUAAAGAUAAAAAAUUAUAUAAAAAGAAGGAUGAAAAUGAAAUUGCAUCGUUAAUUACAAAAAAAAUUAUAAGUUGCACUAUUUAAGAUGUAAACUGCUGCUUUAAGAUAAAAAUUAUACUCUUUGAACAAAAAUUACGCUCUUUGGGAGAUGUUUACACUGUUUCUAUUCUUAUUGCACUCUUUCAGAUGUAAACUGUAAUCAUUAAGAUGAAAAUUACACUCUUGAAACGAAAGUUGCACUGUUUUUCUCUUGUUGUACUAUUUUUUAUCUUAAACUGCAUCCUUUUAAGUGAUAUUUAUACUGUUUCUCCUCUUGUUGCACUGUUUUUCCUUUUGUUGCACUAUUUCUCCUCUUGUUUUUACAGAAAAUGGUGCAACAAGAGGAGAAACAGUAUAAAUAUCUCUUAAAAGGGUGCAGUUUAAGAUAAAAAAUAGUGUAACAAGAGGAGAAAUGGUGCAACAAGAGGAGAAACAGUGCAACUUUUGUUUAAAGAGUGUAACUUUCAUCUUAAUGGAUGCAGUUUACAUCUGAAAGAGUGUAAUAAGAAGAGAAACAGUGUAAAUAUUUCUCAAAGAGUGUAAUUUUCGUUUAAAGAGUGUAGUUUUCAUCUUAAAGCUGCAGUUUACAUCUUAAAUAGUGCAACUUAUAAUUUUUUUUGCAGUUAACGAUACAAUUUGAUGUUCAUCCUUCUUUUUAUAUAAUUUUUUAUCUUUAUUUUUUUUUCUGUUUUUUCUAUAAUUUUUUUUUGUCACCUUCUCUGCCAACAGCCACGGUGCCGGCGACGACACCGCUAAGGACCCCCGCUCCGAGCCUGUAGCGCCGCAGUGACCUCCACGGUGUCGACGUCGGCGCCGGCGAAGAUGCAUCGUCGUCGGAGGCGGCAGAGAAUGAGGAAGAGGGAGAGAUGAGAAGGGCGGGAAAGGACGAGAAAGACGAGAGAGGCAUCGUCGUAAGAGACGGUGGAGAAGAGUCGGAGAAGAAAAGAAAAGAAAAAAGCAAAAAAAAACAAAAAAAAAGUCGUGGCGCGGCCUUAGCGGGGUUGGAGGCGAGGAAGGUGGGGGGUGCGUGGACGAGGGCAAGGGCGAGGGCGAGGGCGAGAGAAUGAGAGUGAGAGGCGAGACAGACCGUUUCUGCCUCCGCUCUGCCGGCGAGAAAAAAAAAAAGAACGAGAGGAAUGAAGAGGAGAGAGAAAGAGGAAAGAGAAAAAAUAAAAAGGAUAUUUUGGUCAGUUUGCUGAAAAAGCGGACCGAGUCUGGAAAAACGAAAAAAUGGCCAAAUUUUGCAAAAGCCCAAAAUAAGUGGAUUUUUUAUGCAAAUUGGCCAUAAAUAAAAGCACGUAUUUUAAAUUUCGCGACAGAUCCAUUUUUUGGCGGGAUAAAAAUUAAUUCAUCUUUCCUUACGUAAAAUAAAUAACAAAAUUAAACAAACUUUUAUUUCCUCUUUAUUUCUAUAACAGAAAAAAAUUUAUAUUUAUCCAAAUUUUUGCCAAUCGGAGAAUAUCUACUGUGAAUUUUUAUUUAAUUCUUCUUUAUCUCUAUCUGUAAUAUAAUAUCUAUACUUAUAUUAUCUAUCUAUAUCUAUAUCAUCUAUACUAUUUAAAAUAAAUUAAAAUAAUUAUUACGUACAUUUACACGUACGCUCAACUAAUAUAUAUAUAUAUAUAUAUAUAUAUAUAUAUAUACAUGCACACCUAGAGAGUAUGUAUCCAAUAAAGCCUUGAAAAUUAAUUUAAAGUUAUGGGGUUAGAAUAAUAGCGGUUCCCUACCUAGGGUUUAGUGGUGGUUGGUUGAAUAGUAUAAUCUAAAGGGUUGAUGAUGUAUUAUAGACUAACAAAUUAUAGUAAGAAAAAAAAGUUUUUUUUUCCAGUGUAAUAAUUUAUAUUAAAUUAUUGGUUAAAAAAUUAAAGAUGGCAAUGAUAUCAAAUGUGAUCUUAAUUUUUAGAUUUGUGCGGUCUCUUUUUAUCUGGAUGUAUUCAAUUUGAUCACCGUACCUUCAACUAGAUUUGGAGAGCCCNAUAUAUAUAUAUAUAUAUAUAGAGAGAGAGAGAGAGAGAGAGAGAGAGAGUAUGUAGCUGUAGUAUUUUUAAAAACACUAAAUACUUGGUACUUACAAAUUUUUCAUCACUUAACUUAUCCCUUUGAUUAAUUAUAUCCCUUAGAUUAUGUUAUUUCAUAAACCUAUUUUUAUCUAAAAGUCGAAAAAUCUUGAAGCACCAAUAAUUUAUUUAUUUAUUUUUUUGAGAGAUAGAUAACACGCUACCCGCUUCGUUUAUUUCAUUCAGAAAUAAACUUAGCUAGAAAUGUGAAGCAGCUAGGAUUCGAACUUGAGACAUCGAGUACCAACCACCAAACCCUUUACCACUUGCUCUAGGGACGGUCGGUAAUAAUUUAAUAUUUUUAAAAGCAUAUGAACUCAAUUACAUACAUAUGAAAAUUAGUAGCUCUGUUCCAAAUUAGUCUUAGUGUUGGGAAUCUGGUACUCACCUUGAUACCAGAUUUUAUACCAGAUUUUGAAAAUCGGUAAUCCGCUCCGAUAUCGAAUGCUGUAAAUUUGAUAUCAUUUAUUGAGAUUCCGCAACGAAAGCAUAAAAUUAAAUUUUUAACGUAAAUCCUACUCCUUGGCAAAAAUCUAGCACAACCACAAAAGAAAGAAAAACCAAAAAUAAAGAAUACAGAUAAAAUAAGAUUCACUAAAUAAGAGAAGAAUUACAUCUAAGUAUCUAACUACUCUUUUAUAUAAAAUAGUUUCAACUCGAGCCCUCUUUCUGAAUCUCUCUCACCCUCUUCUCGUCUUCUAUAAUUCAAAAGAAGACUUCUCUCCCAUCUUAUUCACCCAUGUAUAAGAUAUACUAAUGAUCCACAACCACGAAAAUUGCACACGUCCUCUCCUCUUACACCAAUGUACUAGAUGCAUCCAAAUCAUGACCACUUUGGCCAUGCUAUAUGGAUGUGGCUAAGUCGUACACUCGUACUGCCACCGCCACCGCCACCAAAAUAAAAGCACUCAUGUUAUAUUUACAGCUUACAUCAAAAGUUAUUCAAAUAUUCGUCUAAUUAGAUUUCUACUUUUGUUAAUACUUAAAUCUUAAUUAAUUUAUCUUUAACAGAUUUAAAUAUUAUUCUAAAUCCAACAAAGAUUCAAUUUCAAAUCUAACUAAAUUCUAAUAUAUAAUAUGCUAGCGCUUCUUAACCUUUUUGUUUAAGCUUUUGAAUUGACUCAAACCCUUGGGAAAAAAAAGAAAAGGUUAUUAACAUUAUAGCUUGUACCAGCUUAGAAAGUAACUCAAAAUAAAUCGUGAAAGGCUACGACCAACGAAAAAAUGAACUAAGAAAAAACUCCAUCAUAAGUUAAAAAAAGUUAAUACAUUUAUAAGUUAUGUUAAAUAAGUACUCUUAAUAAUACGGCCAAUUUGCAUAAAAAAUCCACUUAUUUUGGAGUUUUGCAAAACGGGGUCACCUUUUUCGUUUUUGCAGAUUCGGUCCGCUUUUUCCGCCGCCUUACCAAAAUGCCCCUCCUAUACAAUAUCCUCCCGCGUAUUUCUUGACAUACGUAUACUAUCCUACUACCCUGCCGUACGGUCUGGCGCGCAUUAAAUGAGCCGCUUCCGCCUUACGCAAUCUCGCUCAUUUCUCGGAACCCGGACCACAUCCGCCCCCGCUAUUCGCCGGCCCCGCUGUUUCCUGUUCGGCUUUAAAACUUUACGAAAUUUUCUAAAGCUAUUAAGAAAUACUGCGCGCCCCGCAACAGGGAUAAUAGUGCAACGCGAAGGAGCUACGAAAGGAGAAAUGGUGCAACCCCCUCUAUAACAGUGCAUCCGUAGCCUCGUGCCAGUGCAACCAAUCCAUAACAGUCAAAAUCUUACUUAUUUUAUUUCUUAAUGUAAUCUUAAGCUAAUAGUGCAAAUGAAAGGGCAUGGUGACGUCGAAUAUAGCGGUGUGGAGUAGUCGGAGGCUCCACCACCUUUUUAUUGCCGCCGCCACCGUGGCGCUAUCCGCCCCCGCUAUUCGCCGGCCCCGCUGUUUCUUGUUCGGCUUUAAGACUUUACGAAAUUUUCUAAAGCUAUUGAGAAAUACUGCGCGCCUCGCAACAGGGAUAAUAGUACAACGCGAAGGAGUUACGAAAGGAGAAAUGGUGCAACCCCAUCUAUAACAGUUCAUCCGUAGCCUCGUGCCAGUGCAACAAAUCCAUAACAGUCAAAAUUUUUCUUAUUUUAUUUCUUAAUGUAAUCUUAAGCUAAUAGUGUAAAUAAAAGGGCAUGGUGACGUCGAAUAUAGCGGUGUGGAGUAGGAGGAGGCUCCACCACCUCUUAUUGCCGCCGCCGCCGUGGCGCUAUACCUCCGCGCGCCAGGGAUAAUAGUGCAAGGCGAAGGCUCUACGGCAGGAGUAAUGGUGGAACGAACCUUCUAACAUGCAACCGUAGUCUCGUUCCAGUGCAACCUCUCCAUAAGCAGGCAAAAUUUUACUUAUUUUAUUUCAUAAUGUAAUGUUAAUCUAAUAGUGCAAAUGAAAGGACAUGGGGGCCGUCGAUAAUACCGGGCAACCUAGCUAGCAUGUGAAGGCUAGCUCGGAGGAGGAGGAGGAUCGUCAGAGGAAGCCGUCAGAGGAAGCCGGUUAUGGACAAACGCAACCGAUACACUAGCACCUUAACGUCUAUUUGAAGCUAUUAAUGUAUUAGUUAGAAUACUUCUCUAACAAUAUCAACUACAUUAUCUUCCAACGUAACACUAUUUUAGGACAAACAUAAAAUAAUUCAUGAUAUUUUAGCACAUUAGCCGAAUUGUCUAUUACAUUAAGAACAAGUGUCUAAUUACAUGAGGAAUGCUUAAACAAGGUGAUAAAUGUUCAAUGAGAAAAAAUAGUUUGUAACAACGUGACAAAUGAAGUAUAAUAUUAUAAUUAAAGUCUGAUAAAACGUGAUAAUACAAGUACUAUAGUGGAUCGGAUCCUUUGCAAUUAUUCCUUAACGUGAUAAUAAAAACCGCGCGCCUCCAUAUCGCGGUGCCGCCGCCUCCGUUAUUUCUCCACCACCUCGGCGGGGGAUGAGGUGUGGCGAUAUAAGCUGCAGUGGUAUAGGAAAGUAAACGUGAUAAUCGAAUUCUAAUGUAAUUCUUUAUUUUAUUCAUUUUAAAACUGACAAUACCUAACCAACGUGACCUUGGUCCGAUGCCUACGUGACAAUAUCUCCCGCCAACGUGGUAAAGAGGAAAGCAUCGAGGAAGCGCAACGUGAUAAUAUCCUUUUGAGGUAACAUCCAAACUGAUAUAAUUGAGGAAAGCAUCGAGGAUAUUUUCUUGCGGGCUAACUAAGCAUCGAGGAAGCGCAACGUGACAAAUGAAGUAUAAUAUUAUAAUUAAAGUCUGAAAAAACGUGAAAAUACAAGUACAAUAGUGGAACGGACCCUUUGUAAUUUCUCCAGCACCUCGGAGGAGGGUGAGGCGNAAACCUUCUAACAUGCAACCGUAGCGUCGUUCCAGUGCAAGGAGAAUGCUAGGAGGAGGAGGGUCGAUCGGAGGUUAAGAUCCAGCAACGAGGCGAUCAGAAAAAACGAUCCAGCAACGAGGCGUUAAGGUUGAUUCGCACUAUCUGGAAUGUUUCAUUUGCUUUGGGCAAUUUGGAGCUCCGCUCUACCAUGAAACAGACAGUACAGACGGAAAAUAUUAGAAUCCAACGAUAAGAAUAAAUAUCUGCAAGAAAUUAAGAAACUGUAUGACAGGAGGGCCAAUGGGCUCCUAGCAAAUAAAACACUCCAGAUAAUGCGAAUCUUCUCUACGUAAAGGCGAGGAGGUUAAAGCAAGACCAAUAUUUGAGAACGAGUCGAAGGCGACGAACGGCCUUCCUCGUAAGAGGGGAAGCGCUGCUGCAGAGGGGAAGCGCUGCGCUUCCUCUUACCGGGAAUGCCGUUGUCGUCUUCACUUCUUUCACGAACACCACUGUCUCCGUAAUGGGGAAUGCAUCUGAAGAACCGAUAUUUAAACAAAACGAAUCGUCACCUCACCAACCCACCGGUGCCUCUUCGGCUGACCUAAUAAAUUAUAAACCUGAUAGCAAACACUAACGUGUACAUUAUAGCGUCUCUUCGGUGCUCGAAGAGACACCGGUGGGUAUAUCGAAACUGUCUCGAGAAGAUAAACCCACUAUUCAGAAGCCGUGUUGAAUUAGCCUCUGUGCGCCGGUGAUAAUAGUGCAACGGAAAUGUUAUACUGCAGUAGAAUGGUGCAAUUAUCUCUAUAACAGUGCAUCCUUUGUUUGGUUUUAGUACAACCACACUAAACCAGUAAAAAUUUUGAGAUCCUCGUUACACUAUUUUUUAAAUAUGUUGAACUGUUAUCCUCUAUUUUAUACUAUUACAAAAAUUUACAUAUUCAAAUUAUCUAUAUGUUCACUAUUAACAUUAGCCUUGAAUUAUUAUAAUAAGACGUAUGGAUUUUCCGAUAUUUCCUGCGGUGUGCCCGCGGAUGUCGUCGUGGAUGGCUAGUUUGCUCUAGGCACAGGAGGGUUUUUGCAUGACCUUUUGUUGUGCCCCCAUCUCUGGCAAUUCCGGCACCGCUUCUUUAUUAAGCUGUUAGCAAUAGACUCUCGUCGCGAAACCUUUCUUCUGCCCGGUUGUAUGCGGACGUUUGGCGGCCGCAGCGGAACAACGUUACUUGGUAUUGCAGGCCAUUGCUCUUUGCCUCUGGUGGGGGGGACGCAAUCGUUGUAGGUUGCACGAUAAGUCGAGGUCUUAAGCCAGUCCUCGACAAAAUCAUACUGUCACGCCCCGGAUUACACGUUCCCCGGGCACGCCGACAAAUCCGCCGUAUACAAAGAAAUUUUCCCUGUAUACGAAGCGAUAGCUGUACCUGUAAAUCAAACACUACUACGAACAGUAGUAGAGAGCUGCUAGAGAAAACAGAAGCUAAAUAAAACAGAGUUUCAUAUACAUAGUUCAGAUCCAAAAUACAGAGCUACUCGCACUGGCGAGUUAAGUCAACUAUGUACAUAAACUCGAAACAAAACAUCUACCUGCAGUAGGGCACCUCUAGCUCAGCACGUCGGGUAGGGCUCUAACUCGCGACGCCCUUGCCUCGAUCCUGAUCCACGGACGGUGCAGCAGCCGGAACCUGUGGCUAUGCAAAAACAUAGGUAACAACUGGGCGUGAGAACUACUGUAAAAACAAAUAAUCCUCAGUGGGUACCGCCCAAAACAACAUCGGUCACCCACUAAGUCUACAGAAGGGAGCAAGGAUAGUAGGAAAAGCAGGAAGUACACUCUACCGCUAUCAAUCACUACACUAUCAUGCUCUACACUAACCAACUGUAGGAAAAGUCAAGUCUGACCCAAUCCAAAUCGGGACUGUAAGCAUACCCGUCCCCGGGACUGUGAAUACACCCGUCCCUGCCCCGUUACGACUAUCGGGCUCUAUCCACUCUAACUGGUCCGUGGAGAGCAAGUCCAACUGGCAUGAGCGACACCAACGCAAAAGCACAAGCCUGACUCCGGAGUGGCACUCGUGGGCGCUACCCAACCGAGUAUGCAGCGUAUAUCUGUCGAGCUCAAUCAGGCUCCAACUAGCCAAAGUCAAGUAAUCGACUCAAACUGGUCUAACAACCAAUCAGGUAACGUGCCCUCGGCACAAUCUGACGCCAAAAAGGUGAUACGGGUCCACCGUCGACUCUGACGGCACCCAACUGUCCGAAACGACCUGAACGACCCUGUAAAAAUCCACUCGGCGAACCAGCACGAGUGUAAAUACAUUCUAAACUACCUGGAGUACUCGUCUCGAAGAAACUGUGACAGUACAAUUUUCUAACGGCUCCUAGAGCUAAAUCAGGUAGUUAAAACUGGUGACAGGUCCAAAUCGCAGGUUUUCUCCUAAUUCAAUUUCCAAGUCCAACAUGUAUAAUCUACUUAAUUUAUAAAUCAUGCUCAAAAAUCCAGAUUUCACAAUCUACAUAUAGUCCAUGAAUUUGAGCUAACACAAUUUACCGAAACCACGAUUUAUACAUGUCGACUAAUAACACUUAGGAGUAAAAACUGAUGUAACCCACCUCGAAAGCUAUCCCCUGGCAGCGAACGAAGCCUCGAACCAGGACAACCUCUGCUGGAUCAACUAGGGACCUCCAAGUCCGGUGGACGAGCUAACGCCAAGCUAAACAAUUAAGGAUCCUCAAUUCAGUCCAGAAAUUCACAAUAGCUGAGUAGAAACGGGAUUCGACCGAGCUAACCUUCACCAAAUCUGGCAAAUGAGGGCUUCGUGGAUUCCUCUCGAAGUCCCGAAUCCAACGAACUAAGCCUCGUCGUGAUCCGACGUUCCUACGCGGAGAACGAGCUGAAAUACGAACAGUCGACGGCGAAUUUCAGCAAAACAGCUACUAACCGAGUAGAAAUAGUAACACUUGCCCAAAAUCCAGAAAAGACGCCGAAUCACCCACCUCGACAGCGUCGAACCUCGGCGCGACGUCAAGAACAGUGAAGACGCUCCCUCGCCCGGCCUCCUCGCAAAGCUCCGGCAGCAAGUGCGCUCGAACGGCUCGCGGCGCGACGUCGACGACGAAAUCCCCAACCGGACUCUCCACCAACACCUAGAGAGAGAGAGGAGAAGAAGA